GAUGAAGAACGUAGCGAAAUGCGAUAAGUAAUGUGAAUUGCAGAAUUCAGUGAAUCAUCGAAUCUUUGAACGCACAUUGCGCCCGCCAGUAUUCUGGCGGGCAUGCCUGUUCGAGCGUCAUUUCAACCAUCAAGCCCCCGGCUUGUGUUGGGGACCUGCGGCUGCCGCAGGCCCUGAAAUGCAGUGGCGGGCUCACUGUCACUCCGAGCGUAGUAGUUACAUCUCGCUCUGGGCGUGCUGCGGGUUCCGGCCGUUAAAAGCCUUAUUUACCCAAGGUUGACCUCGGAUCAGGUAGGAAGACCCGCUGAACUUAAGCAUAUCAAUAAGCGGAGGA
RNAcentral lists this unclassified non-coding RNA (334 nucleotides) under soil metagenome. RNAcentral's name for it is "partial contains 5.8S ribosomal RNA, internal transcribed spacer 2, and large subunit ribosomal RNA". The stretch from base 1 to 120 matches the Rfam family "5.8S ribosomal RNA", at positions 35 to 154 of the family's 154-position model. The record is from RNAcentral.